Molecule: ribosomal RNA, 251 nt
Filed under: uncultured bacterium
Lineage: Bacteria
Description: partial 16S ribosomal RNA
Rfam family: Bacterial small subunit ribosomal RNA
Source: RNAcentral
AGUAACGCGUAGGUAACCUGCCUUGUANCGGGGGAUAACUAUUGGAAACGAUAGCUAAUACCGCAUAACAAUGGAUGACACAUGUCAUUUAUUUGAAAGGGGCAAUUGCUCCACUACAAGAUGGACCUGCGUUGUAUUAGCUAGUAGGUGAGGUAACGGCUCACCUAGGCGACGAUACAUAGCCGACCUGAGAGGGUGAUCGGCCACACUGGGACUGAGACACGGCCCAGACUCCUACGGGAGGCAGCAUG